GACGAACGCUGGCGGCGUGCCUAAUACAUGCAAGUUGAGCGCUGAAGGUUGGUACUUGUACCAACUGGAUGAGCAGCGAACGGGUGAGUAACGCGUGGGGAAUCUGCCUUUGAGCGGGGGACAACAUUUGGAAACGAAUGCUAAUACCGCAUAAAAACUUUAAACACAAGUUUUAAGUUUGAAAGAUGCAAUUGCAUCACUCAAAGAUGAUCCCGCGUUGUAUUAGCUAGUUGGUGAGGUAAAGGCUCACCAAGGCGAUGAUACAUAGCCGACCUGAGAGGGUGAUCGGCCACAUUGGGACUGAGACACGGCCCAAACUCCUACGGGAGGCAGCAGUAGGGAAUCUUCGGCCAUGGACGAAAGUCUGACCGAGCAACGCCGCGUGAGUGAAGAAGGAUUUCGGAUCGUAAAACUCUGUUGGUAGAGAAGAACGUUGGUGAGAGUGGAAAGCUCAUCAAGUGACGGUAACUACCCAGAAAGGGACGGCUAACUACGUG
This 497-nucleotide ribosomal RNA is filed under the name uncultured bacterium. RNAcentral describes it as "partial 16S ribosomal RNA". It matches the Rfam family "Bacterial small subunit ribosomal RNA", at positions 28 to 507 of the family's 1533-position model. The record is from RNAcentral.